UUUUUUUUUUUUUUUUUUGGUGAAAGAGGACGAUUAAUAAUUAUUAUAUAACUUAUCUAUUUUAAAUUAGAGGGAGACUUUGUAUUAGGAGCUAAUAGAUACAUAAAUUUUACUAGAUUAAGAGAGUAUUUUAUCUUAAUUUUUAGAAUUUAAUUUACUAUGAAUGGGAUCUAAACCCCCACUAACAGUCCAAACAGGAUUUUAAAACCCAAGCUCAGUGGUUACCGCUUUCUACAGUUGAAAUGUCGAACAAAUUAGCUUAUGGUUCUGAACACUGAACUACGAGAAGAUAAGAGUGUGUUAUCCCUUUGAAAUGUCAACGAAAUCUAACGGCUUAAGGGUCACCAUUUGUCCCGAAGAUGGUUGGCUGAGGAACCCUCUUCACUUCUUUUUUGUUUGGCAUGGAGUCGUUUCGUACGAUACAAUAUGAGCCUAGUGAAAAAAUCUAAAUACAUCAAUAUAUAAUAAAUAUUAAUUUUUUUUCGCAACAGCGACAAUCUACUGCACUACUGAUUUUUUUUUUUAUUGUUUUAUAUGGAAUCUUUUUGUUUCGUAUGGAGUCGUUUCAUAUAAUAUGAGUCUAGUAAGAAAAACUAAAUAAAUCAAUACGUGACAAAUAUAAUUUUUGCUUUUUUGCAAUGGCAACAAUCUAGUGCACUGCUAUACUUCCUUAUCAUUUCAUGCAAUAUGAGCUUAGUAAGAAAUAUCUUGUUCCAAUACAUUUGUCUUUACAGAAAGUAAGCAUGUUUUUGCAAAUAAACCUAAUCCCCACAGUAACUUCAAAAGCCGGCAACUUUUAAAGUCCUGCGAGGGACUUAUCUACCCAAACAUCCCAACCCCCCAACCGAUGUGGGAUAGAAAACCCCACAGGGUGCCCUGCUGCUAAGAGAUAUCUAAAUACAUCAACACAUAACAAAUAUAACUUUUUUUUUUUGAACUACAACAAUUAAGUGCAUUGCUAUACUUCCUUGUGAUGCAUUAAACAGACUAUUAUACUUUUUUAUGAUGCACUAGACAUAAUUUAAAUCUCACACCUAGUGUGCGGGAGAGAUUUAAAGUGGCUCUCCUCGACCAUUGGACCAAUGCCCAAUGGUUACGUAACAACCAUUAACGUGAAGUAUUCAACUGAACGAAGAAAACCUUCUAGUCCAAUUUCUUGAUAUACAUAUCAUUGUAGGCCAAUUGACAAGGACUUGGGUAGUGUUUUCUCUGGCAAUGACCAAAAGCCAUAAAAGAUGUACAGUCCACAUCCAUGAAGGAACCAAGAAAUACAAAUCGGACAUGCCAUCAAGUUGAAGGCACUGAGGCCAUGCCUUUAUGCGCGGCGGGCCGGGGAGCCAAGCUUGGUGGGGGUGAAAAGAUGUUUGUUCUCCCCCCCCGGCGGCGGGGGCGGGUUUUUUGAUUCAUUGGCGUAGUCAAAUUAAUGGCAUUUUCCAUCCUAUAGAAAAAGAUCUUCUUUUUAUUUCUUUAUUUGAAAAAAUAAAAGUAAAAAGUGAUGACAUCUGAAGCUUUAGCCUUUAAGCAUCUUUAAAAAAAAAAAAGGUUUAUUUUAUAGUUGUUUAAAGCGAAAAUUGAGAACUGCAAAAACAAAUUCUAUAGGAGAAAAAGUGCUCCUACAAUGGAAAAUUAGUGAGGGCAAUUCUGCUUGCAUCCUUUAAAGUUUGUACAACUACAAAAGUCUACUUUGUGUUACCAAUUACUACGUUGAAAUCCCCUAUUAUUUGUUUGACAUUAUGGUUAAAAAAGUAAUGGAUAUAUUUUCGCUGGAAUUACGUUGUGUCAAGAUAAUCUUGAAGCGCAACAGAUCUUCUGUCUCACAUCCUGUGUCACUCUCUGUCCCACUUUUUAUUAUAUUGUUAUCUCUCCUUCAUAAACAGCAUGUUUUAAUUCUUUUUUAUUUUCUUAAAAUCCAAUAACUAUUAAUUCAGUAAUACACAAAAUUUAACAAAUUCAAAAAAUAAAAUGCAUAAAAAAUGAGAUUUUUUAUGAAUUUUCUGCUGUAUUUUUAAUUUUCUAUUAUAUAUUACUUUUUUUAAGCUGUUGUAUUUAUUUUUUACUGAAUUAAUAAUUAUUGGAUCUUAAGGAAACAAAAAAAGAAUUAAAACAUACUGUUUAUGAAGGAGAAAUAGUAAUAUAAUAAAAAAUGAGACAGAGAGUGACACAGAAUGUAGGACAGAAGAUCCGUUGCUAUCUUGAAGUAAUGGAACAUCUUAAGAUAAGAUAUAUCAACAUGGAGAAGAAGGCUUAGAAAAAUGGAGCUUCAAAAAUUCGGAGGAAUUGUUACCAUUAAACACGUACAGAGGAAUUAAAUACGCCAUUAGCUAUCAAAACUGGCUUUUGGGGUACGAUCAAAAGGUUUCCUUUCCAAUAGAAACUCGACGCUCUUCUUCCCCGGGGUCCACCUCUCUAUGCAGAUGGCAAUUGAGGAAACUGCCAACACCUUCCAAUCAGAAUCAAGGCAUAUUUUUACUUUGUAGAGAAUUUUAGAAAAAAAAAGGUGUAUCAGGUGGAAUAAUUCACCCACUAUUUAUUUCCCAUAAAAGAAAGACAAGAAGAGGCCGUUCACAUCUAUUUCCUAAUCAUCUCCAACCAACCCAAGUCAAGAUGAAAUUAUUUUUGGAGAUCCAUAUGUAUAUAUUUAUGCUGCUCUCUUUUUGGCAAAAAAGGAAAGAUUACACCAAUUAUUUCUCACAUAUUGUUGAUGAUAAAUUUAGUUCAUCAAAUUCAAAAUGACCAAUUUUAGUUCCUAAUAAAUAAAACUCACAUAUUUUUUACGUGGUCAGUAUUUAAAAGGCAACUCUGAUAACUCACUUAAUGUUAACUUAAAAUUUUCACUUAAUCUACUAUUUCUCCUAAUUUUUCUUCACUCAAACCCUUAUUUCACAAAUCCAAAAAUAUAUACACACACCUCCCACUCUUACCAUCAUCUUCCCCACUAUUCCCAUUUUCACUUACUGUCACCUUUGACCUCUUCUCACUCCUUUCUUGCCACCGCUUUCUCUUCUACCUCUCUCUUCCUUAGUUUUCUCCUACUUCUCCCUGCUCAUUUUUCUCUAACCACCACUCAUCCUGCCACCUCUUCUUAUUUUCUUCCCUCCUCUUUCUUUCCUACUCUCUCCUCCUUUACUUUCCCAUUAUUCCUUGCUUUCUCUUUUCUUCUUUCUCUUCUUCUUCUUAACUUUUGUCUCUCCAUACUCCCCUUUUCCCCAACGAUUUGGUUGUGUUGCAAAUAAGGGAAAAAGAGAGGCACCAGAGAAGGAGAAAGGGGAAAAAAGAGUGGCAAGGAAAAAAAAAUGAGACAAAAGAAUGAUAAAGUGGGAGAAGAAGAGAAGAAUAGAGGGAGAAAAAAAAUAGGUGAUAGGAGAAGGAGUGAAAGAGAAUCAAGAGUGCUGAUGGAAGUAAAACGGUGGUGAAAGAUGAAAAUGGAUGUGUGUAUUUUCAGGUUUGUGAAAUUAGGGUUUAGAUGGAGAAGAAUUUAGAAAAAUGAUAGAUUAAGGUUCCGUUUGAUAAAACUGAAUCUGAAUUCUGAAGUCUGCAUCCUGAAAUCUGAAAUCUGAAUACUAAAACAAUUAAUUUGCUGAAUUUUAAGCACUGAAAAAAAUAUAUGAAUGUCUGAAUUUUAAUGCUAAACCUAUUUAUACUGUUUGAUAAAUAUUUAUAGCUGAAUGCUUAAUAAGUUUAAUUUGACAAUUUUGCCCUUAUAUCCUUUCAUUCAAAAAAGAAAUAGAAUCUAUGAUUUAAUUAGUUUAAAAGUAUUAGGUAUGAAAAUGAUAAUAUUUAUUUUUAAAUCAAAUUAAUAUAAAAGAUGAAAUAUAUUAUAUGAGGAGUAUGGAGAAGAUGUGAAAGUCAUUAAAAAGAGAGAAAAGGAAAACUAAAAAUCGUUAGAUAAAGAAUAUUAUGUUGUUUAAUUAGAUGAGAAUUUUGAACAUAAUUAACAAACAAAGAUAGAUUUGGUAGAUAAGAUAAUAUAGUUAAAAUAAUUCUAUUGAUUUUUAUCAGAAUUAAGCAUUCAAUUAGGAUUCCUGUACUGAAAAAAAUACACACAGGUUCAGCACUGCUUAACAAGUUCAGCAAAUAGAUUUUCAUUUAUCAAACACUCAAAACAUCUGAAUGUCUGAAAAAAUUCAGAUUCAGCACUUUUUUAUGUUAUGAAACAGACCAUAAGUCAGCAAUUGUAUUAAGUAAAUUGUCUGAUUUGGCAUUUAAAUAUUGACCAUGUGAAAUGUUCUAACUUAUUUCGGCCAAAAUUUGACUUGAAAGGCAACAAAAGACCAAAAAAAGUAUUUUAGUCCUAACAAAUAAAAAAUACUUUUUUUAAUUCCCUAUAGAAAAUUUUGGUAAAUUUUCUAUAGGGAUCACUAAUACGACGAAAAUAAAAUAAAGAAUGGUUUGGUUAACAGGUGCCUAAUGAGCCGCCGUUAAGAGGGGUCUUAAGUAUUACUUUCUAGAGGGGUUUCAAGUAUUAGUUCUUUAGAUAAAUUUAGAGGUUUUUGUUUAAUGAUUAAGAUUGAAACUUUAGAAUUUAAAGGUUCUUUGAUAAUGUUAUAGGUGUCAAACAAAUCUAUUUAACUAAAUUUAUUCAUAUUCGUCCAUGAAUAGAUGGGUAUGGAUAUUUUAAAUUUUUAUAUAUGGGUAUAAAUAUGUUAUCCAAUAAUACCCAUUUAAUAAAUGGGUAUAAUACCCAAUAAUACCCAAAACCUUAAACUCAUUUAAUAAAUGGGUAUAAUUGAGUAACCAACCAAAUAUAAUUAACCCAUUUAGAAUUAUUUUUACAAUCACAUCUAUUUAGAAUUGUCUUCAGCAAUAAUAUCCUAAUUUCUUUAUCACCUUUGACCAAAGGUAGCAUCAAAAAGUGGAGAACCAAACGGAAAGGUGGGAGAAUAUGUUGGCCAAUUUUUAACUUAAAGAAUAACUAUGCACUUGGAGAUUUUUCUGUCCUGUUUUCAUUUGUAUUUUCCUAGUAUCCAGUUUCAAGUUCAUAAGUUGGUCAAUCACUGUUUAAUCUAUCUUUUUCAUGGUUCCAAAUCCUUUCCCUAUUGCAAAACAAAAAUAUUCUUAUUAUUCAAUUAUUAAAUAGUAUGUAAUUUUGUCACAUAGCACAUAGAUGGGGAAAAAAGUUGGUAAUUAGAUUUAUCGGGCAUUAUAAGUAAAUAUUUUAAAAUUAAUGAUGGGUACAAACUGCAAAUGGUGGUAUCAAUUGAUAAUUUAGUGUAUAAAAUAAAUUUAGAUGAGUUUGUAAAAAGUUAAAAUAAAUGGAUUGUAAAUGAAUAAUUGGAUUACUAACUCAUUUUUUGACUUAUUCACUUAUAUCCAUCUAAUUAAAUGAGUAUAAAUGGAUUGACUCACUUAUAUCCAUUACCCAUUUUAACCCGUCCAUGUUACCCAUUUUAAUUAAUAAUCAGCUCUCUUUUUCUCACCUUUUUUGGUUCCUUGCGUACCAAAUUUGGAAGACAAAAGGAGAAUCAAAAAGGAAAAUGGAAAAGCUCAAGAAUACAAACCAAUGCUAGAAAGUUUCUUCUUGAAGUUAUGGGUCAAAUUUGGUUCCUUCUUAGCCUCAAUCACCUGGAUCAUUGUCGGCUUUACACUUUGCUGAACAACCGGAUGGCACUCAGAAAUCAGUAAACUCUCGAAGCAUCGGAUGCCCAUACAAAGGUAAGCAAGUGAUUCGGAUCCCAUAUUCCUUUGGAUAAAAUAUCAAUUAACAUAGCAAAACUUAUUUGGUUAAGGCUCCGAUUUAUAUCAAUUUCGAGCCCCCCAACGAAAAGGGUAACACACUCAAGUCAAUUCGGAGACGGCAAUUAUCGGAUGGAAGAGAAGACAAUUACGUCAACUCCCCGUUAAUAUCAUCAAUCCAUAGAUUCAAAGUCUUCGAAGUCGCCGUUUUACGACCGACAUUGCCGUUCCCAUAAUCCGGACAACCGCGUUUAAGAGUCCGAAGCCAGAUAAAUCCCAAAAGCCAGUCAACCAUUUUUGUCUUUUCAAGCACAGGGUACUAAGUUUAACUUAUUAUCCAGAUUAACCUCGGCCGCCCCGGCCACACCAAAAACCGAAAAAAAAAAUAUUAUAAUAAUUAGGAGAUUUUUAAUUGAACUACAUGGACAAGAUAUUAGACACCAAGUUUAUUGGACAUAGACAUGUAUACGUUGGCCAAACAAAUACUCCAAACGAUCAGCAACUUCGAAAGAAAAAAGAGGAAAAAGAAGUAAUAUGUUCUUUUAAUGCACUGAACGUGACAUUUGAUGGCAGCUAAUCUACAAGUAUAAAGAUUUUUCCUACUGCUAAUUUGGUGUGAAAAUUCAAGCAUUGGCCCCCAACCGAAAAAAAAAAAUGGUGGUGUAGUUUUAUUCCAAUCAUCCACCCACUUACAAAAUCAAAAGAAAGACUACACUUGAGACUGCUAAUACCAACGUUUUGGACCCAAACCUCCUUCCACCUUGGAUUUCCUGAAACAUUGCACGUCAUCAAAUUUAAUAUUGAUAGGAGGAUAAACUAUGAAUCAAUCAAAACUAUAGAAACAUGACAAGGACUUAAAAAAUCUCUUGCUCAAGUCUCUGGCUGACGGAGGGAAAAAAGAAAAAGAAAAAGAAAAAGCCCAUCACUUUGAACCAAACAUUGAAUUGUAUAGCAUAUGCUGGUGAUACCCAAGAACUGAAAACGCAGAAAGAAACAUUUGAAAACAUAACCCUUUAUCUUGCUAAGAUGAAUUGAGACAAGUUGCCCAAAUGAUAAUUUUUCAUGCUACUUUUAAAAAAUUAGAGCUGCAUAAUCUUUUCUCCAACGCCAGGCGAAAGCUGUGGCUUAUAAUGUCAGUGAGAGAGUAGGACACUGAAUUGACAGUUCGAGAAGUCAAGAACAACACAAACUCAAGACGACAAUGAGUAACAAUUUUACCUCCAUUUCACAUGCAUCUGCAUAAACUAGAGGAUUCCAGGAAACAACAAAAAAUUUUGCCUUUCCAGUUAAAUUGAGGUAAUGUUUAACUCAAGAAUUGACUAAAAUGACCGGGAGUUCGUAAAACAUUAAGCUAAAAGCAGAUUACACAAUAAUUAGGUUGGUAGAUAGACAAAAAUCCAUGGCUGGGUCAUAUAUCUGCCAUGCUCCCAUGCCUUGGCCCCACACAUUAUAACAUUUAGACAAUUUAGAUUAUCAUAAAUUAUCUGAAGAACUCAGUUAUUUUGGGUGGUCAAGUAUAGAAGUUAGAGGUGAGGAAGUAUUUAGACAAUUUAGAUUAUGAUAACACCUCAGUCUUCAAGAAGCCUACCAGUACCAUCCAGCAAGCCCCUUUUCAUUUGCACAUACUUUCAAUCAAUAGACCUCCAAAAGGGGAUAGUGUUGCAAAAGUGUUCUACUUAAGGUUCAGCAUAUUACAAGUUAGCAUAGUAUUGAACAACAUGAUUAUUACGAAAUUGUUCAAGACCUUUUGAUCAGAAUUAAGUAGGUAUAUGAGAUAUCAAAAGAGUAUUGCUUACUCAUUACAAAAUUUAGUUAUGCAUUCAUGAAAAGAGGAAGUCAACGUCAACAUUGAGAACACUUGUCAAUAGGAAUUUUCUUUUUGCAAGGAUUUACAAAAAGUUCAACUCAUUAUAUCUGUAAAAAAAUGUAGGAACUGAAACCUUAAAAGACAAACCUUCAAAAUCCAUAAUUGAUUAUUCUUUCAAAUUAAACUUUGUGCAAAAUCACAUACUAAUAUUUAUAAAAGGUGCCAUCAACAUAUAAGCUCAUGAGAAUGAGAUGGUCGAGCAUAAGAAGUAUAAAAGACAGUUUGGUGGUGCUUUGAAUGAUAUCCAUUUUCAGGGAUUCAAAAAUUUACAAGACUUUCAAACUCAGAGGAUAUUGUUUGACAGAAUCACCUGAAAAAAAACAUAUCCUAAGAAUCUUUAACUCUAGCCCAUGAAUUCUUGCAAAAAUUGCUUACAAUAACAUAUCAGACAAUAGCACCUAAAAAUUAACAUACUUCCUAGAUCCAGGAUAGGUUAGCAAACAUGAUUUAUUACACACUGAAUUUGCUAAGCUAAAAAAGAUGUUAUUCAAGGCUAACUCCUUCGUUCCUAGGCUUCAACAUCUUUUCUAGAAAACACCAGCCCCAUACCCUAACCCCAUACCUAAGAAUGAUCUUCUUAUCCAAAAUAGAAGCGAUAUAGUCUGUCAGAGCCAUAGCAUUUAGGUCAUCCUCUGAUUGCAUAUUUCUGUUGAAAUGUUUGUAAAUGGAAAUUUUAAAAGACACAGUAUGCUGAUAUCUCAGAGGAGAAAGACAAUUUUUUCUGUUCAAAGAUUUCAGAGUUGCAUAGCAAAAGAUGCACACUUCGCCAUACAAACUGUUUUCAUGUUAUAGAGAAAACUGUUCCAAGACACUAUAGGGGCAUAGAAGUGGCUCCUUUGGUUCUUGCCCAAUUAAUGAUUUCCAGAAUUUGAAAGCAUAACAGGUGAUUUCCUUUCCUACAAGUGUUUUUAUCAAUAGAGAAAGGAUAUUUUUGCAAUUUCACAAUCUCUAAGAGAGUAAUAGGUAGUGUGGAAUCGCAGGGAUGCUGUUUUGUGAAAAGGUCAAAAUCUUUUUAGACAUCUUGAGAACUCAUAAGGGUAGAGAUUCUGCAAGCCAACAGUUGUUAUUACGUACUAGACUGGUUAAGAAAUGGUCAAGAAAUACCAGACCGGUAAAUAAAUGGUCAAGAAUGAUUUGAACUUCAGCACAUAUGUUAUCCUCAAACUCCUGAAUGCCUGAUUAGACAACCAAUAAGGGAGCUGGGUCUUCGUCCAACAAGCUUCUGCACCUCUGAAGUUAAAACGACCUACUAUCUUCAGUGCCCCAAGAAAAGCUAGAUCCCAUCUUCAUACUACUCCUUUAUUACCAUCAAUUGUUUCAUCAAACAAUUUCAAAGUUUUUACCCCAAUUCCGCAAAAAGGAUAUGCUAUGAGUGUAACUAUCAUAAUCCUAAAGAUAAUAAUUAAACAAAAUCCAAAGAAUUAUGUCAAAGUUUACAGAGAACACCUGAGAGGAGGCAAAGUUCAAGAGGUAUAGCCGAUAACUAAUCACAAUAAAGGCAUAUGAGGAUACCUUCAAAGAAACUGCAGAUGAAGAUUUAAGUCCAGGAAACCCAAUGUCAUAUGAAAUGCUCAUGUCAGGUUUGUAUAGUCCAUAGUUCUUCUCAGAAGUUGCACCAGGCUUUUGAUCUUCAUUAAACAACGCAAAAAUAUAUGCUUUCAACACAGAUUUUGGCCUCAAAGGUGUUCCCUUCUUCUUAGCAAGCCUUUUCCGCAAAUUAUAAUUGUAUGUCCUAGCAUUGUUUUGUGUGGCAGCGGGCUCAUUCUGGUCCCCUUGAGAAGCCCAUCCUGUCUCUGUAAUUAUAACUUCCAUCUUUUUAUACCCAGCAUCUUCUAAAGCAGCAUAAGCUGCAUCUAUCUGAGCAUCAAGCAAAUUAUCAUAAUGAAGGUUGGUUUUCUGAUCGUAUAUACCCUCAUUUGGCUGAAAGAGGGCAUAGUUUACAUCAAUUUUGUCCGAGGCAUAGGUGUAAGCCAGAAAGGGGUAAGCAUUUAGACAAAAAGGGGACUUGAUUUGAGAAAAAAAGUCCAAGAGCGGCUUCAUAUAUUGAGAAACACCCUCUUUGAAAGUACAGUUGGAAGGAGGGAAUGAAUUGUCGAAAACACCCGAAAAAUGAGCAGUGGAGAUCUGAACAAUAUCAUCUAUCCCCAACUUUUGGGUUGCAUUAUGGAGAUUUUUAACUGCACCCAGUAAAGAUCCCCAAAGAUCGGAAUUAGCACCAUUUCCCAGAAUUUCGUUACCAACAGCAAUCCCAACAAUACGCGUAUCAGGAAGAAAUGCCUUCACAUUAUCUUUGACCCAAGUCAAUGCAUGAUCUACGUUAGUACUCAUUUCCUUCACAUGGUCAUUAGGAAGUCCAAUUAUUAACUCAAGUCCAGUGCCACUAAAGCCCUGGAGAACACUAUGAUCCGCAUCAUAAAUUCUGACAUUCUUUAUCUUUGCUGCCCUAAGGAGUUUAGCAACUUCGUCUGGUGGAGGAAGGUUAUCUGCAAUUCUCCCGUAAUUGAUUCCAUAAGUUCCCGUGAAUGCUCUCACUGUGAGCUUUGCUGAAAUGAAAAACAAAGGAAACAGUUGUAACCAAGAAAGAAAACUGUCCGUGACACCAUGAACCUGAAUAGUUUGAAUACAAACUCAUACAUUUGCAAAGGCUUCGUCUUUCAACCCAGGAUACAGUCAGCAACAAACACAGAUUUAAAUUAGACCAAUGGCCAACAAAAGUUUACACAUAAUUAUAUAAGAUCUUUAAUCAAAUCGAACCAUAUUAUUACCCCCCCCCCCAAGUCUCAAUACUAGUUACCAUUUCAACGGAGUCAAAUGGCGCUCACACAACACACACAUUCCCAUAGGCCACCAAUGUCGCAAUUAGAUAGUUGUGGCACAAGAGUAGCAUAUGAAGAGUAAAUAUACUGCCCAAUCAACUGCUGAUAUCUUCUUAAGCGCACAGCUCAUAACAUGUGAAUCUAAAUUACGAGUGCCAUGCAGACAAUUUAGAACUUCAAAAUCAAUUGAAAGUUACAGACUUAAGUCGUACAAACAAAAAAUAAAUGAGAAGAAGAAGCAGCCAACUGAUGAAAUUUCACCAAGAAUAAAAACCAAUUUCCAAUUUAAAAAUGAAGAGAUUGGGAAAAGCAAACGAAAAAGAGUACUUAGUUUUCACCAGCAGCACCAGCAGGAUGGAAAAAAAAUACUGUUCUUUGGACUGAUCUUUAACAAUUAGAAAUCAGAAAAAAGCAGAAGCAGAAAUCAAGAAUAAGAAAAGCUGUAAUCAAGAACAACUGAAGCGUACCAUUACCGGUGAAAAGGUUGAAGGCCAAGAGCAGAGAAAUGAACCGCACGCAAAAUUGAAGGAUCCUCAUUGAGAUACGUAACCAAGAAACCCCAAUAGGACGUCCCCGCUGUUGUUGUCUUGUCCUGCUGGUGCUACUGAUGUUCUUUCAAUUGAACAAUCCUUCCUCCUACUACUCAACCAUGCCAUUAACCCACUACCAAAAUUUCCUUCCUUUUCUAAUUUUCGCUUUUCUUGACAAGCAGUAAUAGUAUGGUGGCGCCAUCAAUAAUCAGUGCCGACCUUUUUUCUUAGCUCCAUCUUGUCUUGUCUUUUGGUUAGCUUUUCAACCAGACCCUUUUCACAUCCAACAAUAACUAAAAAAUAAAUCAGAUACUCCCAGAAAUAGUAGACUGAGCGGCGGCGGCGGUGGCGGUGGCGACGGGCGGCAGAGGGACACGGUGAUGGGUUUAGGGGUGGCUUUCUUUUCUCUAGUCUCGGCUGUUACUUUAAAUAAUUUUGGGUUUAAUAACUGAAUUUAAGUCGUGUCUACUCUCUGUAUUUGGAAUUUUGGUUGUGCUUUUUUCUUUUUGGUGAUUGUAGCUUGAUAAUGGAGAUUGUUGAGGCUGUGCCAGAACAGUAGAAUAGACUUACUAUUUGAAUAUGUGAACUGUCUGUGCGAAAAAGACUACUAAAACGCUGAUUCAAAACGAAAGAAAGGAAGACCAGUCCAGUCGAACUAUGUAUCCGUCUUGCCAUUUUUUUUAAUUAUAUAUUAUCCUUCAAGUGGCCACCACGCCCUUCCCACAAAGUCAUGUUGACAAGGCCCACUUUUGUUACUUUUUUGUUUUCCUCGUUUUUUAGAGACAAAUAUACUCUUUUCAAGGGAAUAAAAUUCGGUGUUUUGAGGAGGAGAACUAAUGGGAUUCUUUUAAUAUGAUUAUUAGCAAGUCACCCUUGGAAAAAUCAUUUGAAAUAAUAUAGCACUUUUUAUGAGAUCCUUAUAUUAUAUAAGAUUGAUUUUUGGUCAAAGAAUAGGUUGAAUUUCAACCGUAUAGGUGGGGGCUUUCUAGGAAUGUGAAAUGUUGUGUAUUAGUUUAAAAGUUUUAGGUACAAGUUAAGAAAGUAUAUAUUUGGGUAUGUUUACUGAAAUAAUCCCAUUUUAAUACAUUUAAAGUUGUCAUUAAUGAGCCAUCUGGGUAUUGAUGGAAUGUGUAAUUAGUGUACAACCGUUUUUGCAUUUUGUACAACUCAUAUAUGCUUGUAUGUUGGUGUAAUUACCGGAAUAUCUCUUAACUAUCAAUAAUUUCCCUUUUCAGUCGCAGAUAACCGUUUGAGAUGUUGCUUUAUCUGAAACGUUUGAAUGACAAUCGGAUUUAGGAAAUGAGUCAACGAUUUCUCUAUCAAUGGUAGGAACUCAUUUCUCUAUCAUUUAUAAUCUGCAUUUAUGAGCCACAAACGUUGGUCAGUUUAUCAUUUUUCAGCUUCAGGAGUUAAGUUUUCCCUUUUUGCCUUUGUCUAUAACGAUUUGUCUCAUCGUUUUCUCUUCCAUUCGAGCUCAACUCUAAAAUUACUUAUUAUUUCAUCAUUAAUUACACCCAAUUCAAUUGUCAAACCAUUGGUAUGUUAAUGCUUAAACGGUUGAUUAUCAGUUUCUCCCUGUUCGCAUUCUAGAAUUGAAAAAAUUCUACCUGGUUUCAUACUAAUCAGCUCAGAAUGCUCUUCAACCCCAACUACUCCUAUUGGAUCAGCAUGAGGUUAGAUUUCACCCCCCCAAUUUUUCAGUUCCUCCAUUAAUUUUUGUCGGUGUGUUCUUAGUACAUACAAUUAGCGACUCUUAUCGCGUUGCCUAGUUGCAAGAUAGCAUUUUUCGCGUUGCCUAACCCCAAUUAGUCUGGAUUGAUUAUAAUCUUAUAGAUUUGGAAAAACAGCAAUAAAGAUCUCUCGGUGGGGAUUCUAGAAUAAGGUUAGCUUUCUGUGUUGCUUCGCCUUUCUGCAUUAUCAACGACCUUCAAUUUCACAUAGUUUUAUUGUAAUGCUGUGUGAAUUGAUUGAUUAUAUCGUUUAUCUUUUCAUACUAAGUUUUAUUUCUUCUCACAAUGUACUAUUGUUUGUUCAACAAAAAAACCAUAUUGAGUUUGUUUGUGCUGACUUGGGGAACCAAAAUCAGAGUAGAUAUCAUGGAAAUCACUUAUUAAUUGCAGACCGUAAAUGGAAGGCACCAAACACCCGCGCGUUGUGCGGACACUCCCCCUAGUUAUGUCUAUGAAAUAAUAAGAAGGUAUGCAUUUAUAAUGCAACUAAAUAAUGUUUUUUGCAAAUAAUUCUUGAUCCAAACACACUUAUAAAUUAUAACUGGCCAUUAUUAUAGGUAAUAACUCACAAAUAGUAGAAUGAAAACUAACAUGUAGUUAUUAGAAUACACUUAUAUUUAAUUAUUGAAAUAGAAUGAAAUCACGCCUCUUGUCCAAGUAAAAUAAUAAUUGGCAUGUAUGGAUAGGAGAUUAAUUGUCCAAGCAAUAUUUUUUGUGAUAUAAUAUAUAUGAGAUAAAAAAGACAUUUAAAAAUAUAAAAAAAAGUUAGUUAAAAAUAUGUUAAUGAUGCAAAUUAAAUAAUAGGAUUAAUUGUAAUUUAUCUCCUUAACAUUUAUUUUAUGUUACUUAACCUCCUGAGAGACAAAAUAUCCCUCUACUAAAUAAUUUUUUCUCUUAUUUUGUACAGCUUUUUCUCUUUUUUUAUUUCAAAUUGGUUUUAUUUUAUCAAAAUUUUAUUUCUAAGAAAAUAAUAAAUUUCUCUAAUAAAAAAAUUUAGGAUGAAAAUUAUCUAAUUUACCGACUGAAAAAUUAUAUAUAUAUAUUACAUAUCAAUUUAAUCUAUUUUCCAAUUUAAGAAAAUUUUUUAUUCUAUUUCCUUAUAAUUACACUAUACACAGUUAAUUAUCCACUUUUACAAUCUCACAUUCACUUGUCAACGCUAGACUUUUUUUCCUAUAAUGAGUUUUUUAAUUAAAAUCUCAUUUUUUGGCCUUUUUAAAAAAAUAAUCAAUUGAUAGUGUAUUUCCUAAUAUAUGCACUGAUCUUAUGCAAAACUUUACCCACCAUCAAUUAAAGUCGUCAUGUGAGAACCCGUAUUUUUUUUCCAUUUUUUAGGUUUUAUUCUUUUUCAUGGCUUGUUUUCUGCAUUUUCGUGAGUAGGAAAAAUUCUAGAUAUUUUUAAGGAGCAGAUAUAGUUUUUAGAUGAUUUUUCUAGUAUCGAAUAGGUUUUACGAAAUUAAGAGCGUAUACCGGACGUGGGACCCACUAGUGCAAAAAGUUCAGAAAAAUUAGAUCAACUAGGUUAAGUUUUGGAUACUGAAAUUAAUUUAUCGGGUGUUAAGAGAUAAUUAGAGGAGUCCAAGUGGAUUGGUAUAAGAAAGACAAGUUAGGUAAGCAUUUAAUAAAGGUGACAAGUGUCACCAUUUGAGUGGGUUUAAUUUAGAAAAACUAUUCAUGGUCUUACCAUUUGACUUAAAUAAACCAAAAAUGACCAAAAAUCAUCAAAAAUCCUCCAUAAGUGGCCGGCUCUCUCUUUCUCUCUCUCUUACUCUAAGCACAAGGAAGAAAACUCUUCAAGUUUGCUCCAAAUCAUCAAAACCAACCAUUGAAACUUGCAAUUUCUCCAUAAAACCUCUUCAAUUAGUGUUUGUGAGAUGUUGUGUGGAGUUAUUUGGGAAGCUAGGAUGACCUAUUGCUCUCUCUCUCUCUUGUUUCUAAGGUGAGUUGUGAAGAACCACCCUCAUCCCUUAAUUGAUGCUUAAAUCAUGAUUAGUGGUAGUAUGAGAUGCAAUAUUAUGGAUUAUUUCUUGAUUUGUGGUUGAAGUGAUGAAGUUUUAUUAUUUUUGGGGAUUUUUCUGUUUUACUAUGAACAUGAUUGUGUGGCUAUCUAUGAUGAUUGGAAAUGGUAUAUAAUGACUCUAGGAGGUGGAAAAAGUGAUUAAUUGUAACCAAUUUCUGGUUUGGAAGAAAUUUCAGAAAAUUAGGGUUUUAGUGGGAACAUUCUGUCCGAAUUUAUAGCUCCUAGUUAGAGGCCGAAUUGGCUUUGGUUUAAAACAUAAAAGUUGUAGGGAAUGACAUUUUAGAGGUGUCUACAAAAUUUCAGGUCAAUCGGAGUAGUGUAGAAUGAGAAAAGUUGAAUUACUAUUGCUGUUCUGGUUUUACCCGAAUGUAAGAAUUGCGCCUGUAAUUGGUUGUUUUGGCUGGAAUUGCUUCCGAAUUGAUUGUUGAGGCCUUCUGAUGAAAUGUAGCCCUGUAUCUUAGAUUUCAGCUGGUUUUGGAAUUUCUGGAUUUGGACUUGGAGAGCCUGAGUUAUGAUGUUUCCGCUAGAAUGCGUUCUGUGAAUCUAUUUUACGGUUUUGGUGUAGUAUCUUGCAUUUUUGACAUGGUUACACUCAAAACUGGGUUGAGUGACCUUCUGUGAUGUUGUAGCCCUGUCUUUUAGCUUCGAAUCGGUGUAUCGUACACCUUCAUCCGAUAAUCAUAGUGAAAUUGGUGUCAUUACCGUAAAACGAGGUCAAAAACUAUUUUUUUCAGGGCCAAAGCUAAUUGCAUUUCCAAAUUUUCGGGUUUCCUCUAAUGUUUGGGGUCAUGUUUGGCCUUGGUUUAUGACUCGUUAUCGAGUCUCAUUAUACUUGUUUGCAUGUUUUAGGGCGUGACGGUGGUGUACAACGUUCUUUUGACGGAAGUGCAUGAAACCACAUUUGCGAGCUUGGUGAGUGUACUACUCACUUGUGUGUUACUAUAUGGCUUUGAAUGUAAAUUGCUUGAAGUGAAUUGAAUGUGACUUGAUUGAAGUGAAAGUGUACUUUAUCACUCUCACUUAUAUGCCUUAUAUCAUUGUUGUCAUGUUAUUGUAAUGUUACAUGAAAUGUUACAUGAAAUGAAAGUACUUGACUUGGUGUCGAUUGGACGAGUAUCCAACGACUACAAAUGUUAUCAUUGAGCUCAACUCCAUUAGUAGUUGAUUGAAUCGAGCCGGCGAGAGCUUGGUCGUGCCAAUUAAUGAACCUUGGGUAAAGUUAUAUGGAAUCUUGUAGUAUGCGAGACUCUCGAUUCCGGUAUACUCGAGUAAUACCAAAGUGCAAGUGUUUGGAUUUCGGGCCCGGUAGGGGGAUGUUAGGUGGAAGGAGUGGAAGUAAAGUGGAGUCUACGGUUGGUUACUUUUGAACAUUGACGGAGAGUCAAUGACGUCCGAUCAAGAAAUGCAAACGAGGAAAGGGCUCUUGAGAGCCAUCUGUAUCAUUUUAUCACCAUAUUUGACGUGUGCCUUUGCUUAAUUUUACUAUAUUGAAUGAAAGCUUGAUGCUUAUAUGCACUUGGUAGCGUAAGUGAUAGUAUCUCACUGGGCAAUUAGCUCACACCGUUCCUUUUGUUUUCCUUACAGGAAUAUGACUCUUUUUGGAAUGAAUCUUGAUAGAUGGUUGCCGAAUGAACUAGAUGUAUUUUGUAUUGUAUAUGAAGUGAAACCCUAAAUGUAUCUUUAGGGCCGUUUUCACUUUCAAUUUGGCAAACCGUAUAUAUAUUAACUUUUGAAAACUUUUGUAUGCCACUUUGGGUUGUAAUUGCUAAAGUUCAAGAUGUGAAUGUUUGCUUGCUAUUUGGUUGGAUUCUGACGGGUCGGUUACUAUUCAUGACCGACUCCUGAUUUAUUUUUUUUAUUUAGGGUUAUUUUGCCAUUUUGACUCGUUUACGCGCGUUUGUAAGUUCCGGAACGCGAUAGACAGCUCUAAACUGCACCGUUAGUCCUGGCGAGAGUUGGGCAGGCAGUCCGCUAACCCCUUUGGUUCGCCGUAGGGGAAGAUGGGGCUGUCACACGUCAAAACUAUAUCGUAGGUUAAAAUUUGAUGAUUAAAGGAAGUAGAUAGUUUGAAAAUUAAAAUUUAGCAUAAUAGAGAGGUAUUUUUGUCUUUUAGGAGUUUAAGUGAUCAUUAAAAAAGGUUAGGGGGUAAAGUGAAAGUUAAGGUAAAUCUUGAGGGGAUAAAUUGUUAUUAAUCCUAAAUAAUAUUAGAAAAAAAUCCAUACUCCUUGAACAAAAUAAAGAGCAGGAUGAAGAAACAAACACCCCACCUAUUAGCACAUGAAAUCUGAUAAACUACUCAAAUCUAAUCAAUCGAAAAGAUGAUGGAAUGUGUCAAUACCCCCGCGUGAAUGGUCCAGCGGUAGCACCUCCAACCGGUGACCCCUAGGUCCCAGGUUCGAGUCUCUGCUCUGCUGGAUUUCUCGGCGUACAUAUCGUGCUUGGGCCGGGCUGGGGCGCCGGGCCCGGACCGCAGGGGAUUAGUCGGGCCCUGUAAGGAUUAACCUAGACACCCCUAUGUCGACAAAAAAAAAAAAAAAUGAUGGAAUGUGUCAAAGUUUAUAGAUGAUCCAUAGUGGAACUUGUUCGCUCAAUAGUAGGCUACAUUUUCCUCGAUUACUACCGUUUUUUUUCGGUUUGAUCGGGGAGAAUAAAGAUUUUACUUUAGCUUGACCUUAUACUAGUACGUAAGAUUUAUGUUUUUUUUAGGGGAAAAUGUUUAUGUUUAAAAAAGAAAAGAAACAAAAAAAGCUAUUGCCAAACAAAUCCAAGCUCAAUUGAUUUACUUUAUGGAGCCCAACCAUCCACAGUCAAGUUGUGAGGACUGCAAUCAACCCUUUUUAAAUUUUAAUCAUUAGUCAUUGGACGAUUUGUAGAGUUCCUUAGGAGCUACGACAAACACAACGACUCCCCACUUUCCAUGGCGUAAUAAUAAACGCGACAGUGGUGACAGACACAAAUCCGAACCUCUAUAACUGGUUUGUAAAACUAUUUUUAUUAUUAUAUUUAGUAUAAGUUUAUAUAAUUUUAAUUGAAUGGUGAAUUGUAAUUAUAUGAUUUAUAAAUUUAAGCUUAUACCUAAAUUAUAUGAACUUUUAUAAAAUUUUAUAAGAAUUAUGACAAUUAAUUUUGAAUCGGAGAAAAUUCAAGUUACACAACUAGAGAGGCAUACUGUGUAUCUUUAAGACAAGACUUUAUACAGUUUUAGGAAAUUUGUCUGAUUGAAAGGCUGAAAAGGAGCCCUCACGAGUAGCUCGAGCGGGACUGGUAAGUUCAUUUUUACGUAAGAUCCUGUGUUCGACCCCGUUGUAUUAAAAUUGCUGGAAACCUUGGAUAGGGCUCUACUGAAAAUUAGUCUGGACAAAAAAAGUUGGAACACACCCUAAGUGAAAAAAAAAAAGGGCUGAAAAGGGUAUAAUACUACUAAUGAGACUGUACCAUGUUGUCAAUUUGUUCUCUGGGCUCCCACACGCACCAAUUCUAUCGAGCCUUGUGACUUGUGAGCCUAUGAUCCAAUUUCCAAACGACGUUAUCAAUCCCCGUCCCCCCCUGCCCGUUGCCCUGUCACAUGUGACAUGGCACGACAUUGACCUCGUCCCAUCCUUCCAACUUCCAAGUUCCAACGAGUCAUCUUCGUCUCGCCUUCCGUGAAUUUUGAUUUAAAUAAUGCAAUUUCGCAAUUGAAUUUUCUUUUUCCCACUAAUUAAUUAUUCAAAUUAUAGCUCCCCUUUUUAUUGUAUUUUCAAGGACUUUUGGAAAUAUUUGUUUUUAAAAAAUAACGUUGUAAUACUCUUUUGCAACGUAAUAUAUAUAUAUAUAUAUAUAUAUAUAUAUAUAUGAUAAAAAAUUAAAAAACAUACUAAGAGAGUACACUACAAAUUUUUUUUCAAAAAAAUUAUUAAAAAAAAAAGAUCUUAGAGUUUUGCUCGAUUUCUUAAAGUUUCGUAGCUGUUUAUUGUAGCAGCAGUUCCGUAACUCUGGUUAAAAUCUAAAUAAAUGGUUAUAAUUAAAGGACCCAAAAAAAAAAAAAAACUUACCAACACGAAUAAAGUAGUGGAAAAUUCGAAGAUAUAGGGUUUGCGUCUCCUGCUUGCAUGACAUGGAACGCGAUGUUUCCUAGUGAAGAGGCUGAGUCGAAAACCUUUGUCAGCAGACUACUUUUUUGUCAGCAGACUACGCUUUUAAGAAUUACGCAUGGGACACGUAACUCCAAUCCUACGCGUUGCAGACAAAUCCUUCAUCGAUCCUUUUUGUUCGUGUAAAAGAUUCAAGAAUAUGCAAGUCAUUAUCGUCAAACCACUAAAACCUCUCGUACUCAAAAGUAGUAUUUCAAAGGAGAAAUUGAUAAAAAGAACAAUAGAAAAAGGUUAUCACAAUUGCAUGAUCACAUCGUUUUGUCAAUUACAAUACCCGGAGACUUGCUCAAGAAAUUGGUUGACUUGGGUACGGAGUUUUUCCGACUUCCGUUCCUAGAUUUGGAAUAUCUUAGCUCCUAAGGUUCGAAUUAAGCUCCCAAUAUAGGAGGAAAAGGAAAGAAUGUAGGAGUAAUAAACAAGAUUAGCGCGUCAGGCAACUUUCCACAUUGAACAAUCAUUUUAGUUAGCGCGGUUGGUACAAGUUGGCCAACCUCUAAAGUUUCAUUGGGGUAAUUACUUAGCACUAUGACUAGAGUUAUACUAUCUUAGCGUGUAUGUAUACUUUGUUUAGCUAUAGGGAGCAGUAAAGGGCUGCAGCUCCUUGCUAUAGUUUAAUUGUAAAAUUAAGGGUUAAAAACAAAAAAGUUCCCUGUGGUACACCUAAUACACAGAAAAGCCCCCCCGUAAUUUUAAAACAUACAAAACGACACCCUCAUGUUUUGAACUAAAUUGUAAACUAGCAAAAUUCGUUAAACUUAACGAAAUCCGAUAAAUUUAAUGGAAAAUUUAACGGAAUCUGGUAAACUUAACGAUAAAUUUAACGGAAUCCAAUAAAUUUAACAGUUGAGACCGUCAUUUUCGUUAACUUUAGCGAAUUCUGUUAGUUUACAAUUUAGUUCAAAACAUGAGGUGUCGUUUUGUAUGUUUUGAAAUCACGGAGGACUUUUCUGUGUAUUAGAUAUAUCACAGGAGAUUUUUUUGUUUUUAACCCUAAAAUUAAUCAUGCCUCUUCUUAAUCAUACAUGUCAAACACGUCUUUUUUUUUUUUUUUUUUUAACAUAAGUAAGAGAUUCUAAACCUGAACCAUCCACUUGUAAUUCCUUUCGACUUAUCAUCUAACUUAACCGUCCCACCACCAAGAGGGGCAUCAUUUGGUGACAGCAAAACUGAAAAAGAAUCCCACGGGUCUACCAAACAUUUUUGCGUUUUCGGACAUGAAGACAAGACGCCUUGGAAUAUCUAUUGGCGAAGCAUUAAUCAUAUCUGUUACCAUCGUCGCUUUAAACGUUGAUUGGAAUUAUUUGGGUAAGCAAGAAAGGUAGGUGAUCUUGAAUUUCUAUACGUGUAAACAUAAGAUAAUAUUAGAACAGCCCUUCACCAAAUCAAAGCAAAAAAAAUCAAAAGAUAUGGUGAUAAAAUGCUCGGCUGGGUGGAUGGGUACUUUAGCACGCUCAAAGUUUUGCCACUAUUAAUACAUAUUCCAUAAAGUGGAUCAGACAAGUGGCAAAAUUCGUCGCAAAACGAAGUGGAAAGUCGGAAGACCUUUUAAGCUGUCGAGCUUAGAAUAGUCCACUAGAUGAUUCCGCUUCUUUUAAGUUUUAACCACGAGGGUGGAUGGAUGGAUGUAUAGUACUUUUGCUUUUGCGUCUCCAGCGAUGGACUGAUUAUGAGCCGAAAAGGAUCCUUGAAAACUUUAGUGAAUAACGUCCGACUUUAAAGAAGCGCCUUUAAUGCUGGCUACAGAAGAAUGGAGCUUUAAUUCAUGUAGUAAUAGUACAUAAUUCAGCUGUUACAACUUGUAAAUAAAACCAUAAUGGAACAAACACUUUCUUAAUAAAGUUGAUCCAGACAUUUUCCCAGAAGUUGCUGACUGUCAUACAAUACCCGGAUUUUCAAGAACUCCUGCACCAGAACUAGGCCCAGCCCAGAACUUAAUAACACCACUGACAUCGGCCGCUGAUGGGUUGAGAUCUUCUCCAUUAUUUUUCUCUUUGUUUAUCUAUUCAUUUUUUUAUACUUACAUAACUAAUUUUUUGAGCAAUAAUUUGUUUGUGUCGAUAAUUUUAUUUUCACAAGUAAAUAAACAUAUUUAAAAAUCAAGCUCAUCCAUGAACGUUUUGUCAUUCAUAUCAGCUUCACAAGAAUCACAGCUACAAGUAUGGGCUUUGAAGAGAAAACACUUUUGUCCAAUAAUAAGUAAGGCCCAGUUUAGGUCCUAAAAAGGCUUAAAAGCCAUGGGUGUCGUAGACCAUUAGCAUUUCCCGAGAAUUGCUUGAAACUACGCAUUUUAAUUCGCCUUUGCCAUGCGUGAGGAAUUUGUUUGUCUUAAUAUCGUUGUGGUUUUCACUUAUUCCACGUUUGGAGCCGUCCUUUGUUUUGUUAUUAUCAUGUUUUUAUUUGAAAGAGUAACUUCUUAAUAUUUUAAUAUACAUCCAUUAAGAGAAUAUUUUAAAUUCAAAUGAUACAUAUAUAAAGUCAUUAAUGCCAUCUCAUCUAGACAUAAUGAUUAUCAUAUCUCCAUAAAAAGUUGAAUUCCCAAAAAAGACUCCAAUAUUAGAACGGAAGGAGCAGAUGGAAUAUGCACCGUUUUUUGGUGGAUAAUGGAGUACUAAUAUUUACAAAGAAUAGAGGUUAAUUGGGUCUCCCCAAUUUAACCCGCUAAAUGUCUCCAAACAAAAAAUGAUCUAAUUCAGUCGGUGGUUAACUAUUGUAGAUUCGACAUCUAAAUUUGCUCGGAGAUGUGCGUGCGCGGACACACAUUUUAAAGUCUAAUUUGAAAUCCAUGAGGCUGAGUCUUGCAAUUGGCCACGAAAGUGCAAACAUGAGGAAGCACUUUACACUAGGAAUGGUAAUGAGGCGGGGAAUCCUUCCCGUACCUCUCACUCCGCUAUUCAAACAUUCCCUCUGCCCCCUCGCUUGCUCCCUCGUCCCACCCCGCUUUCCCUUGGGGAUUACUAGAAAUUUGUCCUAUAAAGAAAAUUUAGCCAAAUUCUAGCCAACAAUCAAGUAUUUUAAAUACUAACACAUCACCAAGUCAUUGUGAAUAUAUAAUCCAUCGUAAUUUUACAAUAUUUAAUCCAAAAAAAUAAACAUAUAUAUACUAUUUGAAUAUAAUCCAGCAUAAUGAGACAAAUAUAACUCAAGUAGCAAUAAAUAAAAGUGUAAUUAGUUAUGAAUUGUUAAUUGGGAAUGAGUGAAGAGUUGAAAAAGAAUGAAAUUAGGGUUAGUCGUGAAUUGUGAAAUGUUAAGUGUAAAAGAAUAAAAAUGUAAUUAGAAAUUUAGUAUAAAUGUAUUAGUAUAACUAAUCAGUAAUUUGUAUUAGUAAUAAUAUAUAAUUAUUAGUAUAACAAAUAAAUUAAUUAUAUUACAUAUACAAAAUCUGAUAUUUAUAACUAACAAUAUAGUUAUGAUAACUAAUAAUAUUGAAUAUUAUAUAUAUAUAUAUAUAUAUAUAUAUAUAUAUAUAUAUAUGUAUUUUAGAUGGGUGACCAAACGGGUGUGUAAUCCCUCGUCCCCUGUCCAACAGAGGGAGAAAAUUAGCCCUUGCCUUAUAAUACCUGGCGAGAGCAUGCGCUACAAUUCCCAACCCUAUUUCACACUUGCUAUCCAAUAGAUUUAUACUCACCUCUGAAUUUAUACUUCACACUUGCUAUUCAAAUAUCUUUUUGGAGUCAGAUUUUUUACAUUAACACCACAUAUAGCAACGUAUUUGAAUGCAUGUUACCCGCGUAAAAGUUAUAAUUCAAAUUCAAAUAGGUAUUGAUUAUUAUGCAUUCAGACCCCCUAUUUAUAUCAUGUUAGUAUAUAAAAAAUUAUUUUCAUCUUUGCAGUGCAAAAAUAUAAGACAUAUACUUGAUAAUCCAAAGUUGAAAGCUGCCUCUUAUUUUGAUUGUCGUACAGGUUACAUUUUUUAUUAAAUGACUGCAAUGCCCUCGAACUCUUUAGUAAUGGUUCAGUUGACACCAGACGGCAUAGCCUAGCAAGAAAUCUCGUAAUCUUAUCCUCUAUUUUUCCCAACGUCCAAAAUCGCCGCUAAAUCUGACUCUUUGCCACUAAAACAAACUGAAACAAAAGAUAAAAAAAGAGAAAAGAGUACUAGAAAGAGUAAAAAUGGCAAGAGUGCUGCUCUCAAAUGCAAAUAAUCUCCUCCCAUGCUUCCAAUCACCAUCUUCCUCAACACCGUUAACAUCACUUCACCUUCACAAACAAAUCGUUAGGACUCAUCCCACCUCAUGCAAGUCAGCACUAUUGAAUCAAGAUUCUUCUUCUUCUUGUUCUGUUCUGACCACCAAGAGGAGCCUUUCCAUUAGCCUCACAACAGGGUUCCUCUUCUUUCUCUCUGGGAAAGGUUGUUCUGAUGCCAAUGCAGCUAUAUUAGAACCGGAUGAUGAUGAGGAGCUGUUGGAAAAGGUGAAGAAGGAUAGAAAGAAGAGGCUUGAGAGACAGGGUGUCCUCAAUUCAGCUGCUCAAGAGACAGGUCAACAAUCCUUCCCAAUAUUUCCUUGGAAUGUAGCCUCUAGAAAGUAUUUGCUACUUUGACUUUCAUGUCCUUUAGUUCUUUGACCUUGCUUCUUGAUUUUUUUUUCUUUUGGUUUUUGGAUAAAGUUUCGAUUAUUCUUUUCUUUCCGUAAAGUUUUGAUUUUCUUUUCUAUAUCAGUUGAAUUGACACUGCAAGGUAAAGGGAUUAAAAGACUUUAGUCUUUAAGGCUAUGGUAAAGUUGGUUGGAGAUCGUUUCUGUUUUUCUAACACAGAUAAAUUGAGUUAACAAAUUAGUUUUCUCAUAGAUCAACAAACAGUUGAAAUAUUCGUUUUUGCUGGUAAUUAGGCUGCUUUUGGAUGCCGCAUGAAGUCGAUUCCUCUUCGAAUUUAAGAGGCUUCUAUUGAAUCCUAGUCAUUCUUAUUGAAACAUUUCAUGUCAUCGCAAAACUCAAAAUUGGGGUAGGAAUGUGGAGAGACUUGAUUAUGGUUACUUUCAUAGGUGGUGAAUUACAGUUUAGCCUGCAUUUGCUACUACCUCUUGGCAGUUGGCAAUCUGCAAGAAUCUCUUCAGCAAGUAUAGUUGUGAGAAGAAGGGUAAUUACAAGCUUCUGCAGAAUCCUGACUUUUGUAACCUAAAUUUAUGCUGUCGAACAUAGCAUAAUUUACACUGCAAAUUUCUCCAAGAUUUUACUGCAAUAAAACCAACUUUGGAGGUACGAGGAUCCAAUUACCUUAAGUAAUUUGCUGGGCAGUAAAAAAGGAUAAUUUUUGUCCUAAAGGUUAGCUAUGAUCAUCUAUUGCAAAUAUUAUAUGCUUCCUGUUGGUUUCUCUGUGACAUUUUAUGGAUUGCAGAUUAGAAUGACUAGGAAAGUUCAGUAUGGAACAUUGGAGAAGAAUAAUUUGGGCUUACUAAAUCAAGCUUCAAGAAAAUUUUAAGUUACCAAAUGCUGUUUGCCUGCCCUAAGAUAACAUAAAAGCUAAAACAAUUGCGUGUAAUUAAGAGGGAGCGGGGGAACCUAUUUGCCUUCCUAGAUUGCUUUUGGUUGGAAUUCACCUGUAUAUGGAAAUAAUUGGUUUGCACUGACAGAUAAACAUGAUAGAGAAAAGGUCAAGCCUGGCGACAGAGAUCCCUUAGUUAUUUAAUGUACCAGAUCUAUUUUGUUAAUGACUUAUACAAUAGUAGUGAUCUAGAAUCAACUUAUAUGAAUUACUGUCCCUUAUACGGAAAAUCUAGUUAGUUGAAGCCGUUUGGCACAAGUGCUUUCACUCAUGAUGUAAGCGCAAAUACUCAGAAACUUUUACCCCAGCUGAACUGGUUUCUCACUGACUGGCAUGUAUCACCAGUGAACAUGAGAAAGCUUGGCUGUGUUUAACUAUGCAUUCUAAGAUCUAAUGGAUACUUAUCAAUAACAACCGUGCCACUCUUGGUUAUGUUACUAUCUUCAUGGAGUUGAAAAUUAUGAUCAAAGAUUACCGUUUGUGGGUUUACUUGUCCCUCAUGAAAGCAGGCACAUAAAUUUCAUUCAAGGGAUAGUGCUGCAUGCCAGUAAUAUUAUUAGCCAAGAUCUGAAUAGCUUUCAUAGUUGCUACAUCAGUCAACUGGAUUCUAUUAUUUGAUGUAAAUUUCCUUUUGCCCAUGCCCCUUGUAUUUUGUUUUAGCACAUAAUUGUGCUCCUAAUAUGCUUAUCUUCAUUCUUAGCUUGAAUUAAGUCCUUGGCGUGAAGUAAACUGAUGCCCUUAAAGCAUGACCUGAAUGUCGCAUUACGCUCUGAGCUUUUGGUCUCUGUCAUUUCUGGGAAUUGAUUAGCUAUUCUUUUUUAAUGCUGCAGGAUACUUGCAAGAGCUCGUUUACAAGCUCAGCAGAGUAGGCCAGGCAAUAGAGAAGAAUGAUCUUUCAACGGCUAGGUCAGUUCUUGGUCAAAGCAGUGAUACUGAUUGGGUACAAAAAGUUAAGUCAGCUUUCAAGAAGGUAUCCUAUAGAUAAUAAUACUGUACAUGCCUUACUGUGUAGAUCUUGUCUAUAUGCAUUUCCAUGCGUUAAUUGCCUAUCUUCCUGCAGUUGAGCUCUAGCCCUGAGGAGAAAUCCGAAGUAGAGACUUUUAGCUCCGCACUUGAUUCUUUAAUUUCAUCAGGUAUGUUCUGUGUGUUUGCAAGCGUGUUCAUCUUGGUUCCCAGCAAAGGGUUGUGACUUAUGCAUGAAAACUAGUUUGCAUUGUGCAUGCAAUUAAUAUUGAGUGGUGAAAUAGUUUCAUUUGUUGCUCUGAGAGAGCAAUUGAUCUGUAAUUUGCAGUGACUAAGAAUGAUAUUGAAGCAUCUAAAACAGCAUUUGUGGCAUCAGCAUCUGCUUUUGAAAAAUGGACAACCUUAACAGGGUUGGUUGAAAAGCUUAAGGGGCUUUGAAGAAAAUCAAUCUGGCCAGAGAGUUCCAGCAAUACCCCCAGAAUGCUUCACUAGCUUGCUUCUGGCUCUAACUCUAGCUGGUUGACUGCUGUCAUUAAUGAUCGCAAAAUUCUUUUAAUUCCAUGAGCUGUAUUAACUUCUCCAGCUUUAUGGUUAAGUGUUAAUGACAUUGAAAAUUUAGAUGUAAUUAUUCUUUGAAACCACCUCGACCACGCAAUUAAUUGAAUCAUUUCACAUAUUUGCGAUUCAAUGACCUUGGUUCUAUUGAAGUUGUUUCCUUUUUCUUUUGCGGUUGACUAAUUGGUGUUCGCCUCAACCUUGAACGGAAAUUUGGAAUAAAUGGCGCAUGUUGACAGUCACUGCCUUUCUCUUUUGCAUGAUUAACUAAGGGAUGAACCACUUCUUUACGAAAGAUCGCGUAUUUAAAUUUUACGAUGCAAUGUAAGUUUUAUGUUGGUGGACCAUCCGUAAGAAUUCCUAUAUGCGGUGCGUCCUAAUCCAUGGUGACUACUAGGGUGGAACCAUCCAAAUUUUUUGUAUAUUAAAAAAAAAAGUCUUAUCAAGUAGUAAUACCCCAAAAAAGUGGGGGACCAAUUCUUUUUGGGCACUCAGUCGCUAUGCAUCUCAUGGCCUUUUAACUAGCUCAACACUUUCUGCAACGUUUAGACACCCAUCUCCCAUUGGUAUCAAAACUUUAACUGAAACAGCGAUGCUGACUGCCUGAAGAAGCUUGUCAAAGAGGAGCCAGCUCAUCUUAAUCACCUCAAAAAACUGCUGCAAAACAACUAACCUACUGAUAUCCGUAAGCUUGCGAGCCAAGGAAACUCGAGUAACUGAAGAUGACUUAUUAUAUCAUUACAUAGACACAGUUCUGAUCGACAUGUUACAGAGAUCUAUGCAACCUACAAUUCCUUCAAUGCAAGGAAGGUUGGAAUGUUGAAGGCCUACUCUAUAAUGUAAGGUAGUAAUGUUACAAAGAUCUCAGUCACUACACGUUCAACGAAAGACAGCAGCGACAUUAACCUGCUAAUCUAUGAUUUUACAUACUACAGAUGUCUCAUGAACAAUCGGAGUAUCUAUUACUCAACAACAACACUACUGUCAUUCAAAAGAAGCCACCAGCCUAUGAAGGUCAGAACAAGAUAUUACAU
This 26800-nucleotide long non-coding RNA is filed under the name Coffea arabica (coffee). Its description in RNAcentral is "long non-coding RNA (CARA_LNC004481)". The record is from RNAcentral. Lineage: Eukaryota; Viridiplantae; Streptophyta; Magnoliopsida; Gentianales; Rubiaceae.